Molecule: ribosomal RNA, 275 nt
Filed under: uncultured bacterium
Lineage: Bacteria
Description: partial 16S ribosomal RNA
Rfam family: Bacterial small subunit ribosomal RNA
Source: RNAcentral
CCUACGGGAGGCUGCAGUGGGGAAUAUUGGACAAUGGGCGAAAGCCUGAUCCAGCCAUGCCGCGUGAGUGAUGAAGGCCCUAGGGUUGUAAAGCUCUUUCACCGGUGAAGAUAAUGACGGUAACCGGAGAAGAAGCCCCGGCUAACUUCGUGCCAGCAGCCGCGGUAAUACGAAGGGGGCUAGCGUUGUUCGGAAUUACUGGGCGUAAAGCGCACGUAGGCGGAUACUUAAGUUAGGGGUGAAAUCCCAAGGCUCAACCUUGGAACUGCCUUUAA